CCUGUUCCCUCCUAGCUGUGACCAUGGGCAAGUUCCACAACCUCUCAGUUUCUUUGCAUUGAAAGUGGGAAUAAUUCACAGCUCCUCCAUAGGAUUACUGUAAGGAGAUGAAGUGAGACAGUGCAUGAAAAACCCUUGCCUACUGCCUAGCACAUGUGCUCCAGAGGGCUUUGAUCUGUCACAGGGCUCCCUUGGGGUAAUUGCUGCUGUUCUCAAGUCAUUCGCAUUCAGACAGGAUGCUCUCAGCAGCCAGCGGGUCAAAAUAACAUGAUACAGAAUUAUCAACAUUCAAUCCAAAAAAGAGAGAGACAACUUCAUAUUGCAAGGCCUGGUGACAAAGCUUCAAGCUCUCAACUGUGUCUCAGGUUCAAAUCCUAUCUCUAUCAUCUAUCAACAGGGUGAGGAUAUCAAUAAAGCCUCUAUAAUAAGGUCAAUGUGGUGAAUGAUAUCCCCAUGUAAUGCAACGGGAUAGAUUUUGGCUACUAGCACCAAAUGAAAAGGGAAGUUUGUCAAAAAUAAAAAGGGAGACCGCUCCAUAGAUCAGGGUAUCUACCACCGCAAUAUCCCACCUUUAACCUCCUGCCGAUUUCUCUUUCAAUGCCCUGACUUACCCACUUGUGCCAUGGCAAUCCAACAACAAAAUAUCAAAAGUUCAGAGACACAUUUCUAUUUUCCUAUUCAGGAAAAGGACUACAGAACAUUAACCAUUUACAGUUAAGAAACACCAGAGAAGUCGAAUCUGAUUUCCUAGAAGCUGUACCCAGUGAUGACACACCAGGUACUCAGAGAGGUUUCAGGUUCUUUCCAGCCCUGGGCCUUCUUGAUCAACUUCUAGCUAUGCGGAGAGCAGUCUCCUGAUACUCUCUGACACAAUUCCUGGCCUUCCUUCUCCUCUUGGUCUCAUCCUUAGGCUGCUAGUUCUCUCCAAAUUCUACCCAAUGCCUAGCUCACCUGGACCUGCAUCUAUGUGGCAACUACCCAGCUCCUCCCUCGUCCAAGCUUUAUGUCUUACAGUGUUCACAGCUGCCCACCAGUCUCAGCCCCACCUUGGAAUGGUGUUCGGACAUAAGCAAUGUAUUGAUUAGGUACCCAUGUGCAUUUUCAAAUUGACUUCCAUAGACCGUAUUCCAGUUUUGAAGUACUCUAGACACCAUAUUGAUUUAAGAUACAUAUAUGCAUAGUCAUUCUACAUUGGGUGCUUCCUCAGAAAUCCCAACUGUCUCAACAAGGCCUUGCUCAUUGAUACCUUGCUUGACUAACAUCUAGGGAGAUCCCAACUUCAUGCCCAGCAUCCUUAGGAAACGGUCAAACCUGGUAGGAAUUAGAAUCCACCACCAAUCUGGUCUGUCUAGGGAGACUUCUUUCAGCCUCCCCUUCACCUGACAGUAGAAAAGAAAUAGACUCCAGGUUUGAAUUCUCACUCUCCCACUUCUUACCUCACCACUCAUUUUAUCUUCCUGCUCCUCAGUUUCCUUGCCUGUAAGACAGGAAUAAAAACACCCUUCCAGAGAUCCCCUGAGAAUGAAUGGCAAUACAGAGUGUUUGUCACAUAAUAUUGUUCAGGGGAUAGUAGCUGUUUUUCUUGGAAUAACCAUUAAUUAUAGCAGGCUUGAAGAUGGCUGCUGCCUGCCCCAUCCCUGUGUCCAUCAGGUAUUUCACACACACACACCUCCACCUAUCCCAUCCCUCAGCUGGUUUCUAACUCCUCUGUUCUAACUCCUGUAACUCCUCUGUUCCUCCAAGUGAGUUCUGGCACCGGUCUGCUCUCACUGCCUGUGGGUGGUGUGCUAGGGCCGAUGUGUACCAGUUCACAAGAGCUGGCCUUGACAGCUCUUCCCAGCUCCAUGUUCAGGGGCUGCCAUAUUGAAAUCAGACACAUUCAGAGUAUAUACACCAAUGAGCUCAGCAAACACUAUGAUGAGGGCUUUGUCCUCACAGAGUGUUUGUUAAGCAUUUUCCCAUGAAUACAGAUAGGCCUGCACUUUAAAGCUAAAUCCAGGCCAAAAUGUAGAGGGCAACACCCAGUUUAAGAGCAGAAACAGGAGCUGGGAGUGUGGCUUACAGGUAGAGCAAGUGCUUAGCAUGCCUGAGGGCCUGGAUUUGACCCCCAGCCUGUACACUCCCCCCACACACACAGCUUCGCGCAAGCAACAUCACACCAGGAAACAAAAAGCAAUCUAACAAAUGUACACUGUCCUCAAGGUUAACCCUGCCACAGAUGAGAUCAGCUCAGCACAACUCAAGUAUUUUCUUCCUGCCUGGUCCUCCUGGGGAUUCGGUCAUCAGAGUGCUGUGGUGAAAAUCUCCCAGGCCCUCAGUGGCACACCCUCCGUGGGCUCCUAGAAUGCCUCUGCUCUGGCCUGGAAAUGCUGUAUAGCAAAUGGAGUACAGAAGAAGACAAAUUCUUUCCAGGUGGGAAAGGAAGCCCUGGCUUUCUUUCUUUGUUGACAAGGCUCUGAACCACACCAUUUGCUAAGGUACAAGCAUUUUCAGCUUGUGGCUGCUAGAGGGCCUAAGCAAGUGUCCUGCCCAUCCGUGCUGUUCAGCUAGGGUUCUCCUUGUUGAGGACCACAUUAGGAGUGUGUCAUGAGUAGUUACUCAAUGUUUGGCCAAGCUUACCUUUCUAAUCCCCUUGAAGAAAGAAGACUUCCUUAAGCAAAUGAAUGGGUAUGUGGUGAGGUGGGAGGAAGGAUAUUUUUCCUUAUAGGAAAUGUGUUCUCAUGGAUUUCAGAAAGCGGACCAUCAUCUGGUUUUAUGGAAUCCUGUCUAUCUGUAGCGGAUUUCAUGAACCUCAUUUUGGCAGUAUUUUGUUCCUGCCUGUACCUGAAAAGACUCCCCACAACCUGAUCCGGGGAUAUCCCCCACCUUUCUGCCAGGGCCAUGUCUCCUGUCAUCAGGUACCAAGAAAGACCUCCCAGUAAUAAUGGCAGAUGUGAAACAGUGGGGAAUUACCGAGGCACUUCGCGGGCUGCAAAUCCCUCUCUCGCACUUUCUCGUCUGUGCUUCCGGUGAGCCUCAGACCCUCUCUGUGACCCAGGCCUUGACGUGUCUGCCGUCCUUUAAAUGAGAUGAUGCAACGGGGUUGGCUGAGUGCCUGGUAGAGGCCUGGUCACAGUCCUCCUUUCCCUAAAAUUAUGUUUUAACUCAACUUUAUGAAGAAAAGCCACACACUUUCCAUCCUCCCCACCACUACCUCACGCUGGCAACAGUUUCAGUUCUCAUGAAGGGAGGUUUGUGUGUAAACACCAGACCCCUCCUCCCACAGGCCGGACCUCCGAAGGACUCCUGUGGUCCUCUGAAGUCAGCUAGGGCGGGGUCAAGACAACAGCUGCCAUUCUCCCAGGACUGGCUUUCAUCUCUUGCUUUGUCUUUUCAACCUCUCUCUCUUCUUUCCUCCCAAACUAGUGAAUACACAAGUGCUUCAAG
This is a non-coding RNA of Heterocephalus glaber (naked mole-rat), 3426 nucleotides long. The record is from RefSeq and is a predicted model, not a curated record. NCBI's taxonomy places the organism in Eukaryota, Metazoa, Chordata, Mammalia, Rodentia, Bathyergidae.